CCCGAAUGCUUGCAUCUCAUUUGCAAAAUGGAAGGAUGGGAGCCACGGGUCUCUGAGGUUCCCUUGUGCUGUGACAGCCUUAAAGCCACACAGGGUCCCCAGUUUACAGACACGGAGAUAACCACACACCUUUGUGUUUUCCGAGAAUUAUGAGGAUGCCAUGCUGCGAAGUGACACAGAAAACAUGACCACACUGUUGCCAAACUCAAGUGUGAACUCCUGCCCCUCUACAUACUGGCUGCGAGCAGGAAAUACAGAACGACAGCCCCACCUCCUACCCACCAGCAAUAAACAGGAGGAAGUGUGGUUGCAGUGUGAUGACAGUGGCUCGUGGACCAGAAGACUGCGUCUGAGUUAUUUCUCAAUCUCAAAUCUAAAGCUGUGAAGAACAUUUUUCUUGGGUGCUGCCUGGAAUAUGACAGUUCUGGGCAGAAAAGUCCAUUUCCUUGAAAGGAAUUUUGUGCUCAGCUGACCUUGGUAUCCAUCCUCCCAUCUCACCUCACAGCAUCUGUCCACUUCCAGAAGUUGUCUAAAGACCACCCUGGGAUCAAAGCCUUGCCCCUGCUUUCUAGCUGUGACUGUAGUCACUGUGGUGAAAAACAAGAUCAUAAACUCCAGAGAGAUGGCAACCUUUAGUACCAAGAUCUGCGCCAAGACAUCACUGGGGUUUCCGACACUGGGGCUGGGGAGAGCUGACAGCAGAGAAAAUCCAAGCAGCAGUAAAGACACAGGCAGGGAAGAAAGAAGCCACCAGUGUUUGUGAAGUAGCCGCAAACUGUACACAUGCUGUUUCUUCACUGUUCAUCCAACGUGGAUUGAGGUAAACCAUGUGUCACACGACUGACUACUUUUAAUCUUUUAGCAGCCUUGCCGGGGGGACGUUCUAACAGACUCAGAGAGAUUAAGGAACUUGUCCAAGGUCACACAGCAACAAAUUCCAAGAAGUCGAGGCAUAAAAGGCCAGCACAUUAGAAGAAUACACUAAAUGUAAAAUGAGCAGUCUAGGGACCUCCCUGGCGGCCCAGUGGUUAAGACUUCACCUUCCAAGGCAGGGGGGUGCGGGUUCGAUCCCUGGUCAGGGAGCUAAGAUCCCACGUGCCUCGGGGCCAAAAACCCAAAACAUAAAACAGAAGCAGUAUUGUAACAAACUUAAUGAAGACUUUAAAAGUAAAAUAAACCAAAGUGAGCGGUCUCGGAAAGUCCCAUUGUGUGAUGUAGGUUCCAAUGGUGACUACAAUGCCGUGAUGAUAAUCACCGUAAAAAUGGCUACUAUUUAGACAGUGCUUGCUAUGCCCCAGGUGGCACUCAAAGGAUUGCACUUGUGUGAAUUCAUUCAACCCUCACAACAGGCCUAUGGGUAGGGACGAUGAUUAUUAUUCCCAUUUUACAGGUGAAGAAACAGGUCCAAAGAGGUUAAGUAAUCUGUCAAACAGCUGGAAAUAGACACCACCAGAUGUUUAUUCUUGAGAAAAUGCUUUAGGCGCGUCAUAGAAAACCUCCUCAAGUCAGUGUUAAUCCAUGUAACGAACCUUUCCAUGAAGAGGUGACCUGCACUGAAUGCGCCCCCCUCCCAAAUAUAUCCACGUCCAAAUUCUUGCAACCUCUGAAUGAUCUGGAAAAAGGCUCUUUGCGAUGCGAUAAACUUAAGGCCCUUGAGAUGAGACCAUCCUUGAUCACCAGAGUGAACCCUAAACCAAUGAUAAAUGUCUUUGCAAGAGACAGAGGAGGAGGCGGCAACGAGAGGAUGGACAGAGGUGAAGCCCCAGGUCCCAGCAGCCAGGAGCCACCGGCAGUUGGGAAAGGUAAAGUGAAUUCUCCCCUAAAGCCUCCAGAGGGAGCACAGUUCUGGCCUCUAGAACUGACCGAGAAUACAUUUCGGUUGUUUGAAGCCACCUGGUUUGUGGGGGCUCGUCACGGCAGCCUGAGGCAGGCAGCCGGGAAGGUAAGACUCAGCGUCAGGAGUUGAGGCUCGUGUCCAGGCCUGGGUGUCUGGGUGGACGCAGUGGAGGGGAUGGCGCCGAGUGAGUGGCGUGGGCCACCGGGGGAGGCUCACCGUCUGGAAGCUGCAGGAGGAGACUCGCGGUUGAUAUGACGAGCCAGCUUUCCAGCCAGGAGAGCUGUGGGCAGCGCGUGCACUCCCAGUCGUGCACGGAGCUGCCCGUCACAGGGGGUCGUCUUGCCCGCUUGGGAGGUUAUUCCUCCCGAGGUCUGUUUGGAGGUGGAACAGGUGGGGUCUGACGCCAACCCCACUCCCAUGUUCUCCCACUGAAGAAGGCCAGGGCCAGGCAGGCGGCGAGCUCGCAGAAACACUUGCUCACAGAAUCCACGGACACAAGUCGCACGGUAUCUCAUAAAGUGUUUUUCCUUUAAAGUUUUUCGUUCACUGUAGAAUUUUAGCAGAACGUGCCAGGAGGCAGAAAGCAACAACCUUUUUGUUCUCCAUUUCUGGAGCUAGGCGGCUCUUCCCCACCCUUCUCCGCAUGGUCACCUGCAGUAAGAUAGCUGGACAGCGGGGACAGCGCGGAGUUGGACAUGUCACACCUGUGAGCUGUUACUCCAUGUGCUAGAGCCAACCUUGGAAACUGUUCCACGGCCCCCUUAUUCCUGCAGUUUCCACCCCACUGUGUGGACCAGAUGGACCUCGGGGAGCCUGUAGGUGCCACGCACGUGCCUUGUUCACCGUCCAUUGGAAACAACGGCCCUUGUACCACCCUGGCAGUCUCACAGUCAAGAUCCAAAACCUGGGCUGCCCUAAAUUGUAUCAAAAUAUCUCGAAUCAGAGCAGAAAUCUUAGCAUUCUUUCCUCCAAGGCUGAUAGUUAAAAUACUAUUUUCUAACCAGUAUGAUAUGGUGUCCCUGACCAAUCAGAAGAGAUGCUGGCGGUGACCCCAGUUGCAGGGAGGAAAGCGCUGAGUCACUGCCCGGUUGGCCAGCUUCAGGGUUCCCGCUGCCACACACCUAUAAGGGACACAGGGGGCGUCCUCUGGGCUGUUGAAAAGACUCCGCUUACUUUGUGCAAUAGGGAAGAAAGAGAGGAGAGAGAAGUGAACAAAACUGUUUGAGUGAAAUAUCUAAAUAUCAAGUCAUAAGUUAAAGGGAACCUUUCUGGAAGUAAAGGAGUCUUCCGGAAACAAAUUAUCACCUUGCUGGUAACAGUGGCCCUUUCUCCAUGACCACUGUUCCCUGGAGUUCAAUAGGAUACUGUUCUGGCUCUUAAUUUGCUGCCAGACCCUCGGGGGAAGGAAGCCGAUGAGUAAAUCACUGAUUACAGUCCAGUCUAAUAAGUGCUUCUGUGAUGAAAAUCAUGAUAAUAAUAAUAAUGAUAGGUGGUCAGACAGUCUAAAUAUUUUAUAUGGAUCGUCUCACUGAAUAUUCCUAACCACCCACGAAAUAGGGGCUAAUAAUGGCUCCACUCUGCAAAUGAGGAAACCAAGGCAGAACAAAUCACUUGCAGAGUCAAGAUGUCAAUCAAGCAGCCUGGCUCUGACCUGACCCCGCCCCCCCUGCAUCCCUUGGUUAGGCUCCCGGCAAGACAAAACUGUAGUACCAGAUCAGAGUGGAGAUCACAGGAGGCUUCCAGGAGGAGGGGCUGCAGAACAAUAGACUAGAUGUAUUGAAGCUACAGAAGAAAGAUCACCUGCCCCCACCCCGUGUUAAUGAGAAAAGAUACGACUUGCCAUUUGCCUGUUCUAAUUCAAACCUUCCAAUCUGGUGAUUAUCUUUUCAUCUCCAUACAUGGUCUUAGGGCUCACAUUUGCCCAUCACUUUCAGAAGGCAGGUCAGGAAAACCAUUGUUUUUUGGGUAAUUCACACAUGGGAAAUCAAAGUAAGUGAAAAGGAAGAAGCAGAAACACUAAGCCGGGAGUGUGGUGUGUGUGUGUGUGUGUGCGAUCCACGAAGAGGAUUGAGUUGGGGACACGGGGGAGAUGGAAGCAGUUCGUGGAGGGACAUGAAUGGAAAAGGGAGGAAGGAGGAAGGACCACUCUGUCCGAGGGAGCAGACGCUACUUGUAGAUUUUUUUUUUUUUUUUUUUUUUGCGGUAUGCGGGCCUCUCACUGUUGUGGCCUCUCCUGUUGCGGAGCACAGGCUCCGGACGCGCAGGCCCAGAGGCCAUGGCUCACGGGCCCAGCCGCUCCGCGGCAUGUGGGAUCUUCCUGGACUGGGGCAUGAACCCGCGUCCCCUGCAUCGGCAGGCGGACUCUCAACCACUGCGCCACCAGGGAAGCCCUGCUUAUAGAU
Orcinus orca (killer whale) is the source of this 4239-nucleotide long non-coding RNA. RefSeq lists it as uncharacterized. NCBI's taxonomy places the organism in Eukaryota, Metazoa, Chordata, Mammalia, Artiodactyla, Delphinidae. The transcript has 3 exons. The record is from RefSeq and is a predicted model, not a curated record.